UGGCGGCGCGCCUAACACAUGCAAGUCGAACGAGCGUGAGAGAGCUUGCUUUCUCGAGCGAGUGGCGAACGGGUGAGUAACGCGUGAGGAACCUGCCUCAAAGAGGGGGACAACAGUUGGAAACGACUGCUAAUACCGCAUAAGCCCACGGCUCGGCAUCGAGCAGAGGGAAGAGGAGCAAUCCGCUUUGAGAUGGCCUCGCGUCCGAUUAGCUAGUUGGUGAGGUAACGGCCCACCAAGGCAACGAUCGGUAGCCGGACUGAGAGGUUGAACGGCCACUUUGGGACUGAGACACGGCCCAGACUCCUACGGGAGGCAGCAGUGGGGAAUAUUGCACAAUGGGGGAAACCCUGAUGCAGCGACGCCGCGUGGAGGAAGAAGGUCUUCGGAUUGUAAACUCCUGUUGUUGGGGAAGAUAAUGACGGUACCCAACAAGGAAGUGACGGCUAACUACGUGCCAGCAGCCGCGGUAAAACGUAGGUCACAAGCGUUGUCCGGAAUUACUGGGUGUAAAGGGAGCGCAGGCGGGAAGACAAGUUGGAAGUGAAAUCUAUGGGCUCAACCCAUAAACUGCUUUCAAAACUGUUUUUCUUGAGUAGUGCAGAGGUAGGCGGAAUUCCCGGUGUAGCGGUGGAAUGCGUAGAUAUCGGGAGGAACACCAGUGGCGAAGGCGGCCUACUGGGCACCAACUGACGCUGAGGCUCGAAAGUGUGGGUAGCAAACAGGAGGAGAUACCCUGGUAGUCCACACCGUAAACGCCCCCUAAAAGGUGUUGGAGGAUUGACCCCCUCCAGUGCCGCAGUUAACACAAUAAGUAAUCCACCCUGGGGAGUACGACCGCAAGGUUGAAACUCAAAGGAAUUGACGGGGGCCCGCACAAGCAGUGGAGUAUGUGGUUUAAUUCGACGCAACGCGAAGAACCUUACCAAGUCUUGACAUCCCUUGACAGGCAUAGAAAUAUGUAUUCUCUUCGGAGCAAGGAGACAGGUGGUGCAUGGUUGUCGUCAGCUCGUGUCGUGAGAUGUUGGGUUAAGUCCCGCAACGAGCGCAACCCUUAUGGUCAGUUACUACGCAAGAGGACUCUGGCCAGACUGCCGUUGACAAAACGGAGGAAGGUGGGGAUGACGUCAAAUCAUCAUGCCCUUUAUGACUUGGGCUACACACGUACUACAAUGGCGUUAAACAAAGAGAAGCAAGACCGCGAGGUGGAGCAAAACUCAGAAACAACGUCCCAGUUCGGACUGCAGGCUGCAACUCGCCUGCACGAAGUUGGAAUUACUAGUAAUCGUGGAUCAGCAUGCCACGGUGAAU
Molecule: ribosomal RNA, 1311 nt
Filed under: uncultured bacterium
Lineage: Bacteria
Description: bacterial SSU rRNA
Rfam family: Bacterial small subunit ribosomal RNA
Source: RNAcentral